UCUUAGAUGGUUUGGAGGAUCUUAAGGGUGAGUGAUGGCAGAAUUCAAAUUGUUUUGGGGGAAUUAUGAAAUUAAUUAGAAAAUAUGUAAGGGAUAAUCAACGGCUAGCUGUGCAUUAAACGAUUUGAAUGCACGACGUGGAGGCGAAGAACCACCCAACGCGCAGCGGAGUGCAUUCAGAUCGUUUAAUGCACAGCUAGCCGUUGAUUAUCCCGUUUAUGUCAUGGUCAUUUACCAGCAUUCACAUAUUAAAGAUGUUAAUAAUAUUUGUGCUGCAAUAUUUGACCGGAACGAUAAAAAUGACGGUUAUUUUCGUCUGUAUUACUAUUCACGUUACUAUGGUUACCAAUGUUUAUAGGAAGCGCAUUAAUAUAGAACGUGAUUAAACUGACCUGGAACUACCUGCAGUUCAACGAAUUUAAUCAACACCUGCCAGCCAAUCAGAAUCCAGUAUUCAGACAGACCAUGGCAUAAAGCGGUAUGUUCUUAUUGUUACCAGCUUCUGCGUCUGGCUUCAGAACCUCACUGUGACUUCAGGUAAGAUUUGUAUUUAAUUAACGUUAUUUGUCUGUACCAAUCAUGUUUCUGACACAUGCAUUGGCAGAAAAAAAUAAAAUAAAAUUAGUUAACAUCAACAUUCUUUUAUUUGCAACAUGAAGUAUAUUUAUUUCUGAUUUCCUGAACAAUUUGGCUUCAUUGUAAUGAGGUUAAUGAUCUUUAUAAAACCAUGAUUAUGAACAUACAAUUACUUUGUCUUGAGCUGAUUACCCAACUGCGGUAGUGUUGGUUGAUUGGUGUCUAUAUUUGUUCAAGCUUGACAACCUUAUGACUUUAUUUUCUAAUAUAUAUAUUUCUCAUUACAGAUAAGAACAAAGAUUAAAUUGUAAGAAGGGUUGCUUAUAAAAGCAUACGGUACAUCUGAAACUGCUGAGGCUGGGAAGGUUUUUGACUAUAUUUCCGACCAGAUCAGCUGCUAUAGAAGACAAACUGAAAUCUAAAUGCAGAGACAAGCAAAGGAAUACUGCAAGACACUACUGACUAGGCUGUGCCCAGGUCUCCGGAACCUGCGAGGACGCUCAGCUCCAUUGGCCCUUAGUCUGCGGCUUCGGAUCCACCAGCUCUGUCUCCAUCGGUCGGCCCCCAGAUGUCGGCAGCCACACCAUCUACAUCUUGGCUCCUCCCUCCCUCGACUCCGCCGUGUGUUGUCAGCACUGGGAUGCUCUGGGUCUGUGCCAUGUGCCAAACACCAUCUAAGCCGCCAGGGCAUCAUCGUCAUCCUCUCAUCACCAUCCCUACACCACCUCCUCGUCCACCUCCAAAACCCCUCCAUCCCUCCCUAUUCUGUUGCUUGAACUUUAUCAUCUUCAGUCUUUGCACACACAUCUAUUCACUUUACAUGUUUUUUUUUCUUCAGAAAAUUGCAUUGUAAUUUUUAUUUAUUCAUUGAUGUAAAAUUCUUUACUUUUCAGUAAUACAGGUAUAACUGAAAUGUUCUACAAAUGGAUAAGAUGGC
Molecule: long non-coding RNA, 1513 nt
Organism: Onychostoma macrolepis
Lineage: Eukaryota; Metazoa; Chordata; Actinopteri; Cypriniformes; Cyprinidae
Exons: 3
Source: RefSeq, a predicted model, not a curated record